RNAcentral lists this ribosomal RNA (448 nucleotides) under uncultured bacterium. RNAcentral describes it as "partial 16S ribosomal RNA". It matches the Rfam family "Bacterial small subunit ribosomal RNA", at positions 43 to 523 of the family's 1533-position model. The record is from RNAcentral.
CGUGCUUAACACAUGCAAGUCGAACGAUGAACCCGGAGCUUGCUCCGGUGGAUUAGUGGCGCACGGGUGCGUAACACGUGGGAAUCUGCCCUUAGGUACGGAAUAACUCAGGGAAACUUGAGCUAAUACCGUAUGAUGUCUUCGGACCAAAGAUUUAUCGCCUAAGGAUGAGCCCGCGUCGGAUUAGCUAGUUGGUGGGGUAAAGGCCUACCAAGGCGACGAUCCGUAGCUGGUCUGAGAGGAUGAUCAGCCACACUGGGACUGAGACACGGCCCAGACUCCUGCGGGAGGCAGCAGUGGGGAAUAUUGGACAAUGGGCGAAAGCCUGAUCCAGCAAUGCCGCGUGAGUGAAGAAGGCCUUCGGGUUGUAAAGCUCUUUUACCCGGGAAGAUAAUGACUGUACCGGGAGAAUAAGCCCCGGCUAACUCCGUGCCAGCCGCCGCAGUAA